RNAcentral lists this ribosomal RNA (253 nucleotides) under uncultured bacterium. RNAcentral describes it as "partial 16S ribosomal RNA". It matches the Rfam family "Bacterial small subunit ribosomal RNA", at positions 524 to 776 of the family's 1533-position model. The record is from RNAcentral.
GACAGAGGGUGCAAGCGUUAUCCGGAAUGAUUGGGCGUAAAGCGUCUGUAGAUGGCUUUUCAAGUCCGCCGUCAAAUCCCAGGGCUCAACCCUGGACAGGCGGUGGAAACUACCAAGCUGGAGUACGGUCGGGGCAGAGGGAAUUCCUGGUGGAGCGGUGAAAUGCAUUGAGAUCGGAAAGAACACCAACGGCGAAAGCACCCUGCUGGGCCGACACUGACACUGAGAGACGAAAGCUAGGGGAGCAAAUGGG